Ovis aries (sheep) is the source of this 73-nucleotide non-coding RNA. The record is from Rfam. Lineage: Eukaryota; Metazoa; Chordata; Mammalia; Artiodactyla; Bovidae.
UUCCUGGUAGCUCAGCUGGUAAAGAAUCUGUCUGCAGUGCAGGAAACCCUGGUUCAAUUCCUGGGUCAGGGAG